AGCAUAUCAAUAAGCGGAGGAAAAGAAACCAACAGGGAUUGCCCUAGUAACGGCGAGUGAAGCGGCAACAGCUCAAAUUUGAAAUCUGGCUCUUUUAGGGUCCGAGUUGUAAUUUGCAGAGGGCGCUUUGGCUUUGGCAGCGGUCCAAGUUCCUUGGAACAGGACGUCACAGAGGGUGAGAAUCCCGUACGUGGUCGCUAGCUAUUGCCGUGUAAAGCCCCUUCGACGAGUCGAGUUGUUUGGGAAUGCAGCUCUAAAUGGGAGGUAAAUUUCUUCUAAAGCUAAAUAUUGGCCAGAGACCGAUAGCGCACAAGUAGAGUGAUCGAAAGAUGAAAAGCACUUUGGAAAGAGAGUCAAACAGCACGUGAAAUUGUUGAAAGGGAAGCGCUUGCAGCCAGACUUGCUUGCAGUUGCUCAUCCGGGCUUUUGCCCGGUGCACUCUUCUGUAGGCAGGCCAGCAUCAGUUUGGGCGGUGGGAUAAAGGUCUCUGUCACGUACCUCUCUUCGGGGAGGCCUUAUAGGGGAGACGACAUACCACCAGCCUAGACUGAGGUCCGCGCAUCUGCUAGGAUGCUGGCGUAAUGGCUGUAAGCGGCCCGUCUUGAAACACGGACCAAGGAGUCUAACAUCUAUGCGAGUGUUUGGGUGUCAAGCCCGAGCGCGUAAUGAAAGUGAACGGAGGUGGGAACCCGCAAGGGUGCACCAUCGACCGAUCCUGAAGUUUUCGGAAGGAUUUGAGUAAGAGCAUGGCUGUUGGGACCCGAAAGAUGGUGAACUAUGCUUGAAUAGGGUGAAGCCAGAGGAAACUCUGGUGGAGGCUCGCAGCGGUUCUGACGUGCAAAUCGAUCGUCAAAUUUGGGCAUAGGGGCGAAAGACUAAUCGAACUAUCUAGUAGCUGG
Molecule: ribosomal RNA, 899 nt
Filed under: Stemphylium eturmiunum
Lineage: Eukaryota; Fungi; Ascomycota; Dothideomycetes; Pleosporales; Pleosporaceae
Description: partial large subunit ribosomal RNA
Rfam family: Eukaryotic large subunit ribosomal RNA
Source: RNAcentral